Molecule: small nuclear RNA, 22 nt
Filed under: Arabidopsis thaliana (thale cress)
Lineage: Eukaryota; Viridiplantae; Streptophyta; Magnoliopsida; Brassicales; Brassicaceae
Description: snRNA_18397
Source: RNAcentral
AUAUAGUGGUGUAUAAAUGUAU